Molecule: ribosomal RNA, 523 nt
Filed under: uncultured bacterium
Lineage: Bacteria
Description: bacterial SSU rRNA
Rfam family: Bacterial small subunit ribosomal RNA
Source: RNAcentral
AGAGUUUGAUCCUGGCUCAGAUUGAACGCUGGCGGCAUGCUUUACACAUGCAAGUCGAACGGCAGCGCGGGCUUCGGCCUGGCGGCGAGUGGCGAACGGGUGAGUAAUGCAUCGGAACGUGCCCAGUAGUGGGGGAUAGCCCGGCGAAAGCCGGAUUAAUACCGCAUACGACCUGAGGGUGAAAGCGGGGGACCGAAAGGCCUCGCGCUAUUGGAGCGGCCGAUGUCGGAUUAGCUAGUUGGUGGGGUAAAGGCUUACCAAGGCGACGAUCCGUAGCUGGUCUGAGAGGACGACCAGCCACACUGGGACUGAGACACGGCCCAGACUCCUACGGGAGGCAGCAGUGGGGAAUUUUGGACAAUGGGGGCAACCCUGAUCCAGCCAUGCCGCGUGCGGGAAGAAGGCCUUCGGGUUGUAAACCGCUUUUGUUCGGGAAGAAAUCCUCUGGGCUAAUACCCCGGGGGGAUGACGGUACCGGAAGAAUAAGCACCGGCUAACUACGUGCCAGCAGCCGCGGUAAUUC